UGUUAAUCCACACAUUUGUUUGUGCUAUA
This 29-nucleotide non-coding RNA is filed under the name Mus musculus (house mouse). Lineage: Eukaryota; Metazoa; Chordata; Mammalia; Rodentia; Muridae. The record is from RNAcentral.